UUUUUAGUAUGUUUUCCUUGGUGGACACCUGAAGAAUGAAUAGGAACAGAAAGUGUAACAUAAAUCUUUGGAUUAACCUUAUUUCUCUUGCAAUUUCAUUCUGACACUAUUUUGCUAAUGCAAGAAAGCCAGUAAAUAGAACUGAGCCCAAACUCUCUAAUACCAAGGGCUAUGGUGAGGCUGAUCCAGGACUUGGAGGAGCCUGGAAUAAAAGAUUGCUGAAAUUUUGCAAUAAAUAAAUCUUUUUAGAGGAUUCAUGUCUUCCCACGGAUAAUGAGAUGCCUAAGAGACCAGAUUCACCUACAUACCUUUUCUAGGACAAUUCAUCAUCUCAGUGUCAAGGGCACAUGUCAUGUUGCUCUUUCUUGCUGCUUACCAAGAAAGGUA
This 387-nucleotide long non-coding RNA is filed under the name Homo sapiens (human). RNAcentral describes it as "HSALNT0087542". The record is from RNAcentral. Lineage: Eukaryota; Metazoa; Chordata; Mammalia; Primates; Hominidae.